RNAcentral lists this ribosomal RNA (1346 nucleotides) under uncultured bacterium. RNAcentral's name for it is "partial 16S ribosomal RNA". It matches the Rfam family "Bacterial small subunit ribosomal RNA", at positions 28 to 1381 of the family's 1533-position model. The record is from RNAcentral.
GACGAACGCUGGCGGCGUGCUUAACACAUGCAAGUCGAACGGAAAGGCCCUGCUUUUGUGGGGUGCUCGAGUGGCGAACGGGUGAGUAACACGUGAGUAACCUGCCCUUGACUUUGGGAUAACUUCAGGAAACUGGGGCUAAUACCGGAUAGGAGCUCCUGCUGCAUGGUGGGGGUUGGAAAGUUUCGGCGGUUGGGGAUGGACUCGCGGCUUAUCAGCUUGUUGGUGGGGUAGUGGCUUACCAAGGCUUUGACGGGUAGCCGGCCUGAGAGGGUGACCGGCCACAUUGGGACUGAGAUACGGCCCAGACUCCUACGGGAGGCAGCAGUGGGGAAUAUUGCACAAUGGGCGAAAGCCUGAUGCAGCAACGCCGCGUGCGGGAUGACGGCCUUCGGGUUGUAAACCGCUUUCGCCUGUGACGAAGCGUGAGUGACGGUAAUGGGUAAAGAAGCACCGGCUAACUACGUGCCAGCAGCCGCGGUGAUACGUAGGGUGCGAGCGUUGUCCGGAUUUAUUGGGCGUAAAGGGCUCGUAGGUGGUUGAUCGCGUCGGAAGUGUAAUCUUGGGGCUUAACCCUGAGCGUGCUUUCGAUACGGGUUGACUUGAGGAAGGUAGGGGAGAAUGGAAUUCCUGGUGGAGCGGUGGAAUGCGCAGAUAUCAGGAGGAACACCAGUGGCGAAGGCGGUUCUCUGGGCCUUUCCUGACGCUGAGGAGCGAAAGCGUGGGGAGCGAACAGGCUUAGAUACCCUGGUAGUCCACGCUGUAAACGGUGGGUACUAGGUGUGGGGUCCAUUCCACGGGUUCCGUGCCGUAGCUAACGCUUUAAGUACCCCGCCUGGGGAGUACGGCCGCAAGGCUAAAACUCAAAGGAAUUGACGGGGCCCCGCACAAGCGGCGGAGCAUGCGGAUUAAUUCGAUGCAACGCGUAGAGCCUUACCUGGGUUUGACAUGGAUCGGGAGUGCUCAGAGAUGGGUGUGCCUCUUUUGGGGUCGGUUCACAGGUGGUGCAUGGCUGUCGUCAGCUCGUGUCGUGAGAUGUUGGGUUAAGUCCCGCAACGAGCGCAACCCUUGUUCACUGUUGCCAGCACGUUAUGGUGGGGACUCAGUGGAGACCGCCGGGGUCAACUCGGAGGAAGGUGGGGAUGACGUCAAGUCAUCAUGCCCCUUAUGUCCAGGGCUUCACGCAUGCUACAAUGGCUGGUACAGAGAGUGGCGAGCCUGUGAGGGUGAGCGAAUCUCGGAAAGCCGGUCUCAGUUCGGAUUGGGGUCUGCAACUCGACCUCAUGAAGUCGGAGUCGCUAGUAAUCGCAGAUCAGCAACGCUGCGGUGAAUACGUUCCCGGGGCU